Molecule: ribosomal RNA, 253 nt
Filed under: uncultured bacterium
Lineage: Bacteria
Description: partial 16S ribosomal RNA
Rfam family: Bacterial small subunit ribosomal RNA
Source: RNAcentral
GACGAACCGUGCGAACGUUGUUCGGAAUCACUGGGCUUAAAGGGCGCGUAGGCGGGUCAGCCAGUUCGGGGUGAAAUCCUUCGGCUUAACCGGAGAACUGCCUCGAAGACGACUGAUCUGGAGGGAGGUAGGGGUCGCUGGAACUUCCGGUGGAGCGGUGAAAUGCGUUGAUAUCGGAAGGAACGCCGGUGGCGAAAGCGAGCGACUGGACCUUUACUGACGCUGAGGCGCGAAAGCUAGGGGAGCAAACGGG